CGCCACGGUCAACCGCCCGGCGCUGGUCAACUGCGCUCUGGUCAACUUUUCAGCACUCUGGUCAACUAGUUGACUGGUUGACUUUUCUGGUUGACUGGUUGACUUUUCUGGUUGAUUGGUUGACUUUUCUGCAUUUUGUUUGACUUUUCUGCACUCCAACCAUUUGAUAAUUCAACCAUUCUUUCAAAUCAUUCCAAAAACCUUUAUCAUUGCC
Molecule: long non-coding RNA, 214 nt
Filed under: Vigna radiata
Lineage: Eukaryota; Viridiplantae; Streptophyta; Magnoliopsida; Fabales; Fabaceae
Description: long non-coding RNA (VRAD_LNC003643)
Source: RNAcentral